AACGAACGCUGGCGGCAUGCCUAACACAUGCAAGUCGAACGAGACCUUCGGGUCUAGUGGCGCACGUGUGCGUAACGCGUGGGAACCUGCCCUUAGGUUCGGAAUAACUCCCCGAAAGGGGUGCUAAUACCGGAUAAUGUCUUCGGACCAAAGAUUUAUCGCCUUUGGAUGGGCCCGCGUUGGAUUAGCUAGUUGGUAGGGUACAAGCCUACCAAGGCGACGAUCCAUAGCUGGUCUGAGAGGAUGAUCAGCCACACUGGGACUGAGACACGGCCCAGACUCCUACGGGAGGCAGCAGUGGGGAAUAUUGGACAAGGGGCGAAAGCCUGAUCCAGCAAUGCCGCGUGAGUGAUGAAGGCCUUAGGGUUGUAAAGCUCUUUUACCCGGGAUGAUAAUGACAGUACCGGGAGAAUAAGCUCCGGCUAACUCCGUG
Molecule: ribosomal RNA, 433 nt
Filed under: uncultured bacterium
Lineage: Bacteria
Description: partial 16S ribosomal RNA
Rfam family: Bacterial small subunit ribosomal RNA
Source: RNAcentral